RNAcentral lists this long non-coding RNA (634 nucleotides) under Olea europaea subsp. europaea. The record is from RNAcentral. Lineage: Eukaryota; Viridiplantae; Streptophyta; Magnoliopsida; Lamiales; Oleaceae.
CAGGAAUUCAAAAGUAAAAGCAGAGAUGGAGGUCCGUUCGUUUCGUCUAACGUAUCUUUAGGCUCUGCUUCGGAGCUGGGUUUGGCCCUUGUGUUUGUAUGACUUUGAAAGGAUAAGAACGACCCCCACCCACUCCAAACGAAAAUCCAUCUCUCUACUACUCUUGAAUAUGGUUUUAUUAUUAUUCAAGGACAAUUCCAAAAUAACAAAUGUAAAAACAACCAAAAGAACUGCAAGAAACAAGGUGAUUGCAAAAUUCUCUCAUCGAUAGUGUACUUUGUGAGAGAUCAAGUAUUCUGGAGAACUCAAAGUCAGAUUCACCAGAUUUAUUACAUUCGCAUAUAAUAUUUGCAGCUUUUCAAAGGCAGACAAGAUAAUUGGCUUAUGAAAAAGACAUAUCACCAUUUCACGAAGUUCACAUUUUUUCUGGUCUAUUGAAAUAGUUUAAAACUGAUGACAAAUGCCAAAAAAUGGUAAUAGGACAAAUCCAAACAAGUGGUGUUACCUGUUGGAGAUUUCCAUUUGUACCCGGCGUUUGACACACCGGGUCACCCGAUGUGAUGAGGGUGUCAGGCCCCACACAUUUAUUGGCAUGAGACCCCGACACCUCAUGUAAGUGGAAGGUAACUCGAAG